RNAcentral lists this ribosomal RNA (555 nucleotides) under uncultured Halobacterium sp. RNAcentral describes it as "bacterial SSU rRNA". It matches the Rfam family "Archaeal small subunit ribosomal RNA", at positions 325 to 879 of the family's 1478-position model. Lineage: Archaea; Methanobacteriati; Methanobacteriota; Halobacteria; Halobacteriales; Halobacteriaceae. The record is from RNAcentral.
ACGGGGAGCAGCAGGCGCGAAACCUUUACACUGCACGCCAGUGUGAUAAGGGGACCCCGAGUGCGAGGGCAUACAGUCCUCGCUUUUCGUGACCGUAAGAAGGUCUCAGAAUAAGUGCUGGGCAAGACCGGUGCCAACCGCCGCGGUAAUACCGGCAGCACGAGUGAUAGCCACUAUUAUUGGGCCUAAAGCGUCCGUAGCCGGCUACACAGGUCCGUCGGGAAAUCCACCCGCUCAACGGGUGGGCGUCCGGCGGAAACCAGGUAGCUUGGGGCCGGAAGACCAGAGGGGUACGUCCGGGGUAGGAGUGAAAUCCUGUAAUCCUGGACGGACCACCCCUUGCGAAAGCGCCUCUGGAAGACGGACCCGACGGUGAGGGACGAAAGCUUGGGUCUCGAACCGGAUUAGAUACCCGGGUAGUCCAAGCUGUAAACGAUGCUCGCUAGGUGCGGCGCAGGCUACGAGCUUGCGCUGUGCCGUAGGGAAGCCGAGAAGCGAGCCGCCUGGGAAGUACGUCCGCAAGGAUGAAACUUAAAGGAAUUGGCGGGGGAGCAC